Molecule: non-coding RNA, 30 nt
Filed under: Homo sapiens (human)
Lineage: Eukaryota; Metazoa; Chordata; Mammalia; Primates; Hominidae
Source: RNAcentral
UGGGUGACAGAGUGAGACCAUCUCCAAAAA